RNAcentral lists this long non-coding RNA (1294 nucleotides) under Mus musculus (house mouse). Its description in RNAcentral is "long non-coding RNA chr2:131846394-131847688". The record is from RNAcentral. Lineage: Eukaryota; Metazoa; Chordata; Mammalia; Rodentia; Muridae.
UUACUGGGUAAGCCAGCUUCCAGCUUACACUGUGGUUGUCCAAGCUUACAGGGCACGUGCUUUCAAAAGGCUUCAGUGUGAGAGGGCUGAGUGACGCACGCUUGUCAAGAUUCCUUUAACAACAUUUUGCAACGCCCUCAUGCCUCCUAGAUCUUCAGGAAAAUGAGUGUCAUGGAAGCUAGCAGGAGAAGCUCCUGCCUCCUAUAAGAAGUCCUUGCCCCUCUCACCCCUCCCCCACACCAUCAUCUCUCAGCUUACAUGGUAGCUGUAAGAACCCAAGCAAACUUCCUUUCAUCACUACUUGUUGGAAGCAACACGCCGUCCACAAGAAUAAGCUGGGAGUCUUAACUCUGCUCUUGUAAAUUCUGAAGAGGUUUUGUUGCUAUCUUUUCAUGGAUCUACCACAAUGAUAUGAAGGAAUUUAUCUCAUAUACCUUUCAUGUGAUGUCUUUGUUUCUGGAAGCACAAACCUGACUCUGGUCUUUAUAUGUGGCCUUAUCUUCCCACAUCCUUCCCUCAAGUACUCUGGGAAGAAAAAGAGAGAUCCCUGCUAGACAGGAGAGGCUCUAAGUAUUUUCAGAGCACAGUUCAAACACUAAGGCAAGUGCUACUGUUGACAGAGUUCCCCGGUUACUGGGAAUCUUCCAGAAGCUGCUAAGUUUCUCCUCAAUAGUCUAGCAGAGCACACACGUCCUGAAUCAGCUGGCCAAUGCAGAAAACAAGUCUUCAUUCUAUUGUUCUAGAGACUUUACAGUUUCAACACCACAAAGUUGAGCAAGCACUUAUUAAUUUGUAUUCCAUAAAGAAUAGGGCAUAGGCUUACAAGAAAUAUCUGCUUGUAUACAACAAAAAUAUUCAGAAUGGUUGUGUGUGGAGGUCACUUCCCAGAAAUUCAGAAGGUAUCUGAGACUAUACAUAAAAAGAUCUGGGCAGCAUAAUCACACGUAUACUGUCCCCCAGCCACAGACACCGACCACGGCAGGCUCUGGUCUCUGAUAGACCUUUUUCAGUUACACGAAGAUGACACCAUUCUUGACAAACAGCGUUUUGUUGCUACAGAAGAUCUGCCAGGAUACCAGGCUGCUGUCUCAUAGUGGAUAAUCACAGGGUGGGGGUGGGGGGUGGGGGUGGGUGGAGUGGCCCUGUAGGUCAAACGGGAAACAGCCUCCAAACCUACCUGGGGUCACUUCAAUUGUUGUCUGCUGCCUGAAACAGGAUGGGCUCCCUGUGAGCACAAGCCUGACAAAGCACACCAUCACCAAGGCUACCUCCAGGUGGCCAGGGACCCUGCUGU